GAUGAAGAACGCAGCGAAAUGCGAUAAGUAAUGUGAAUUGCAGAAUUCAGUGAAUCAUCGAAUCUUUGAACGCAUCUUGCGCUCCUUGGUAUUCUGAGGAGCAUGCCUGUUUGAGUGUCAUUAAAUUCUCAACUACACUGACUUUGAAUUGGUGUGGCUUGGAUUUGGGGGGAAAAUUGUUGUGGGCUUUUUGUAUAGUCUGCUCCCCUGAAAUUGAUUAGCGGUACUUUUGUGGAACUGUCUACAGGUGUGAUAAUUAUCUACAUCUUAGACAUCUGCUGGAAUGCUGCUUUCUAAACCUUACUUGUAUUGACAAUCUUGACCUCAAAUCAGGUAGGACUACCCGCUGAACUUAAGCAUAUCAAUAAGCGGAGG
RNAcentral lists this unclassified non-coding RNA (375 nucleotides) under soil metagenome. RNAcentral's name for it is "partial contains 5.8S ribosomal RNA, internal transcribed spacer 2, and large subunit ribosomal RNA". The stretch from base 1 to 120 matches the Rfam family "5.8S ribosomal RNA", at positions 35 to 154 of the family's 154-position model. The record is from RNAcentral.